ACGGCUCUUUUCUGCCCGGGCCAUGGGAGAAGAUAAUAUUCCUUUUAGAGCCUGUAGGGAAGCUGCAACUGUCGAAGAUAACUGGCCCCCAGGUCAAGUCAAGCAAUCACAUACCACAGCAUACCUUCAGGAGAGCACACUGCAGGAAGUUCGGAAAGGAUAACCAAUGCAGCUGAAACCAAUCUACUUCCAUCUUCUAAUAGUAUCUGUGGCUUCGUAGCUUUUACUCCUGGGCUACCUGUCAAUUUAGGGUUUAAUUCUGGGAGCUGUCUAACUAGAAUGCAUACACACAAUUCCAGUGUUGCAAAGACCAAAGACUUUCCAGGCACAAGUCCUCCGGUGUCCUUUCCCUCUCCAAACUCUGGCAGAGUUUCCUUUUCAGCAGCC
Molecule: long non-coding RNA, 387 nt
Filed under: Pan troglodytes (chimpanzee)
Lineage: Eukaryota; Metazoa; Chordata; Mammalia; Primates; Hominidae
Description: long non-coding RNA NONPTRT004760
Source: RNAcentral